Molecule: ribosomal RNA, 730 nt
Filed under: Bembidion sp. CA62
Lineage: Eukaryota; Metazoa; Arthropoda; Insecta; Coleoptera; Carabidae
Description: partial large subunit ribosomal RNA
Rfam family: Bacterial large subunit ribosomal RNA (bases 1-536)
Source: RNAcentral
UUAAAUGGCCGCAGUAAUUUGACUGUGCAAAGGUAGCAUAAUCAUUAGUUUUUUAAUUAAAAGCUUGUAUGAAAGGUUGGACGAAGUAAAUACUGUCUCUAUUUAAUUUACUUUAGAAUUUAAUUUUUAAGUUAAAAAGCUUAAAUUUUUAUAAAAGACGAGAAGACCCUAUAGAGCUUUAUAAAUUUAAUAUUAAAAUAAAUUUGGAUAUAUUUAUAUUUUAAUAUUAAAUUUAUUUUAUUGGGGUAAUAUAAAGAUUAAUAUAAUUCUUUUUUAAUAUAUAUAUUGAUAUAUAGAUUAUUGAUCCAUUAUUAUUGAUUAUAAGAUUAAGUUACCUUAGGGAUAACAGCGUAAUUUUUUUUGAGAGUUCUUAUCGAUAAAAAAGUUUGCGACCUCGAUGUUGGAUUAAAGAUUAGUUUAGGUGUAGAAGUUUAAAUUUUUGGUCUGUUCGACCAUUAAAUCUUUACAUGAUCUGAGUUCAGACCGGUUUAAGCCAGGUCGGUUUCUAUCUUUAUUAAAUUAGAAUAUUUUAGUACGAAAGGACCAAAUAUUUAAUAUAUUAAUAUUUAAAAUUUUGAAUAUUAUUAAUUAUUUUGGCAGAUUAGUGCAAUGAAUUUAGAAUUCAUUUAUGUAAAUUUUUACAAAUAAUACUUGUAUUUUUUGGAUUUAUUGUUAUCUUUUAUUUUUAUAUUGUUAUUAAUUAUUUGUGUAUUGGUGGGGGUGGCUUUUU